AGAGUUUGAUCCUGGCUCAGAAUGAACGCUGGCGGCGUGCUUAACACAUGCAAGUCGUACGAGAACUCUUUAGCUUGCUAAAGAUAGUAAAGUGGCGCACGGGUGAGUAACGCGUGGGUAAUCUACCUCUAAAUCUGGGAUAACAUUGCGAAAGCGAUGCUAAUACCGGAUAAUAUCUCAAAACCAUAAGGUUUUAAGAUCAAAAAUGGCCUCUACAUGUAAGCUGUUGUUUGGAGAUGAGCCCGCGUACCAUUAGCUUGUUGGUAGGGUAAUGGCCUACCAAGGCAACGAUGGUUAGCUGGUCUGAGAGGAUGAUCAGCCACACUGGAACUGACACACGGUCCAGACUCCUACGGGAGGCAGCAGUGAGGAAUUUUGCGCAAUGGGGGAAACCCUGACGCAGCAACGCCGCGUGAGUGAUGAAGGCUUUCGGGUCGUAAAGCUCUGUCAAGUGGGAAGAAAUCAUAUAGUGAUAAUCCCGCCAUAUGCUGACGGUACCACUGAAGGAAGCACCGGCUAACUCCGUGCCAGCAGCCGCGGUAAUACGGGGGGUGCGAGCGUUGUUCGGAUUUACUGGGCUUAAAGGGCGUGUAGGCGUCCUGAUAAGUCAGAUGUGGAAGCCUUGGGCUUAACCCAAGAAGUGCAUUUGAAACUGUCAGGAUUGAGUCGUGCAAGGGAGGGCGGAAUUCCUGGUGUAGCGGUGAAAUGCGUAGAUAUCAGGAGGAAGGCCGGUGGUGAAGACGGCCCUCUAGGCAAUGACUGACGCUGAGGCGCGAAAGCGUGGGUAGCAAACAGGAUUAGAUACCCUGGUAGUCCACGCCCUAAACGGUGCGUACUAGGUGUGGGUGGCGAUAGUCAUCCGUGCCGUAGGGAAACCAUUAAGUACGCCGCCUGGGGAGUACGGCCGCAAGGUUAAAACUCAAAGAAAUUGACGGGGGCCCGCACAAGCGGUGGAGCAUGUGGUUUAAUUCGACGCUACGCGCAAAACCUUACCUGGGCUUGACAUGUUAGUAGUAGUGAACCGAAAGGGGAACGAUUCCUAGCAAUAGGAAAGCUAUCACAGGUGCUGCAUGGCUGUCGUCAGCUCGUGCCGUGAGGUGUUGGGUUAAGUCCCGCAACGAGCGCAACCCUCAUCCUCUGUUGCCCUUAACGGGGAUCUCUGAGGAAACUGCCGGCGAAGAGCUGGAGGAAGGUGGGGAUGACGUCAAGUCCGCAUGGCCCUUAUGCCCAGGGCUACACACGUGCUACAAUGGUAGAUACAGAGGGUGGCCAAGCCGCGAGGUGGAGCCAAUCCCACAAAGUCUAUCCAAGUUGGGAUCGGAGUCUGCAACUCGACUCCGUGAACCUGGAAUCGCUAGUAAUCGUGGAUCAGCACGCCACGGUGAAUACGUUCCCGGGCCUUGUACACACCGCCCGUCACACCACGAAAGUCUGCUGUACCCGAAGUAGGCGAGCUAACCCGCAAGGGAGGCAGUCUCCUAAGGUAUGGCCGGUAAUUGGGGUGAAGUCGUAACAAGGUAACC
Molecule: ribosomal RNA, 1523 nt
Filed under: uncultured prokaryote
Description: partial 16S ribosomal RNA
Rfam family: Bacterial small subunit ribosomal RNA
Source: RNAcentral